AUUGAACGCUGGCGGCAGGCCUAACACAUGCAAGUCGAAAGAGUGGCGGACGGGUGAGUACUGUCUGGGAAACUGCCUGAUGGCGGGGGAUACCUGCUGGAAACGGUAGCUAAUACCGCAUACCUUCGUAUGUGCCCCGAUGGGAUUAGCUAGUAGGUGGGGUAAAGUCUCACCUAGGCGACGAUCCCUAGCUGGUCUGAGAGGAUGACGAGUCAAACUGGAAGUGAGAACCGGUACAGACUCCUACGGGAGGGAGCAGUGGGGAAUAUUGCACAAGGGCCUGUGGCCUGAUGACUCCAUGCCGCGUGUAGGAAGAAGGCCUUCGGGUUUGAAAGUACUUUCAGCGGGGAGGCGUUACCCGAAGAAGAAGCACAGGCUAACUCCGGGCCAGCAGCCGCGGUAAUUC
RNAcentral lists this ribosomal RNA (406 nucleotides) under uncultured bacterium. Its description in RNAcentral is "partial 16S ribosomal RNA". It matches the Rfam family "Bacterial small subunit ribosomal RNA", at positions 30 to 526 of the family's 1533-position model. The record is from RNAcentral.